UUGGUUAAGCUAUUAAGAGCACACGGAGGAUGCCUAGGCGCCAGGAGCCGAUGAAGGACGUGGCGAACUACGAAAAUGCCUCGGGGAGCUGUAAGCAAGCGUUGA
Molecule: ribosomal RNA, 105 nt
Filed under: Paenibacillus rhizophilus
Lineage: Bacteria; Bacillati; Bacillota; Bacilli; Caryophanales; Paenibacillaceae
Description: Paenibacillus sp. 7197 partial 23S ribosomal RNA
Rfam family: Bacterial large subunit ribosomal RNA
Source: RNAcentral